This 550-nucleotide ribosomal RNA is filed under the name uncultured bacterium. RNAcentral describes it as "bacterial SSU rRNA". It matches the Rfam family "Bacterial small subunit ribosomal RNA", at positions 119 to 674 of the family's 1533-position model. The record is from RNAcentral.
GGGUAAUCUGCCCUCCACUCUGGGAUAGCCCUCCGAAAGGGGGAUUAAUACCGGAUAUGACCUGCGCCUGCAUGGGUGUGGGUGGAAAGUUUUUUCGGUGGGGGAUGUGCUCGCGGCCUAUCAGCUUGUUGGUGGGGUAAUGGCCUACCAAGGCUUUGACGGGUAGCCGGCCUGAGAGGGUGACCGGCCACACUGGGACUGAGACACGGCCCAGACUCCUACGGGAGGCAGCAGUGGGGAAUAUUGGACAAUGGGCGGAAGCCUGAUCCAGCAACGCCGCGUGAGGGAUGACGGCCUUCGGGUUGUAAACCUCUUUCGCCGAGGACGAAGCGCCCUGUCGGGUGGUGACGGUACUCGGAUAAGAAGGACCGGCCAACUACGUGCCAGCAGCCGCGGUAAUACGUAGGGUCCGAGCGUUGUCCGGAAUUAUUGGGCGUAAAGGGCUCGUAGGCGGUUUGUCGCGUCGGGAGUGAAAUCAUCGGGCUCAACUCGGUGCUUGCUUUCGAUACGGGCAGACUAGAGGUAUUCAGGGGAGAACGGAAUUCCUGGU